Molecule: long non-coding RNA, 5795 nt
Filed under: Solanum tuberosum (potato)
Lineage: Eukaryota; Viridiplantae; Streptophyta; Magnoliopsida; Solanales; Solanaceae
Description: long non-coding RNA (STUB_LNC009400)
Source: RNAcentral
UUUGGUGAAGCUAGAGGGUUUUUGCAUAGACCCUAAAGAAGCAAAUUGCUACUUAGUCUAUGAGUAUGUUGAAAAUGGUUCACUACAUUCUUGGCUUCACGGUGAAAAACCUGAAAAAUUGAGCUGGAAAACAAGACUAAGGAUUGCCACUGAUGUUGCAAAUGGUCUCUUAUACAUUCAUGAACAUACAAGGCCAAGAGUUGUCCACAAAGACAUCAAGAGUAGCAACAUUCUCCUAGACUCCAACAUGAGAGCCAAAGUUGCCAAUUUUGGUCUAGCUAAAUCAGGGUGCAAUGCUAUAACAAUGCACAUUGUAGGUACUCAGGGGUACAUCUCCCCUGAGUACCUCACUGAUGGGGUUGUAUCCACUAAAAUGGAUGUUUUCUCAUUCGGGGUUGUGUUGCUCGAGCUUGUGUCAGGGAAGGAGGCUAUCGAUGAUGAAGGGAAAGUCUUGUGGGCAAAAAUUAGCGAUUUUUCUGAAGGGAGUGAAGAGAGGAAGGUGAGGAAAUUGCAAGAAUGGAUGGAUGAAAGUCUAUUGAGGGAAGAAUUAACAAUGGAAAGUGUUGUGAAUGUGAUGACUGUGGCUAUUUCAUGUUUGAAUAAAGAUCCUUCAAGAAGGCCAGGGAUGAUUGAAAUUGUGUAUGCCUUAUCUAAAAGUAUUGAUCUAUUUUCUGAUGUUUCAGAGGAAGGACCAUCUCCAAGGCAAGUCACAGCAAGAUAGACUACAUAAUAGUACUUGCAUAUUAUGUAAAGUUGUUUUGAAGUGGAGUAGCAUUUUGUGUUUUGAGGUUUGUACUUUACUUUAAAGUUUGCUUCUAUAUAAGUGUAAUAUUACUCCUAUAUUAUCUUUUCUAGUAGUAGUGGUAAAUCCAAUUUCGAAUAAGAGCAUGUUUAAGGUUGUUCUAGUGGAAUAUAUAUUAGUACCACAUAAGACACUUGUAAUGAAUUUAUCUUUAUGUUAUGUUGCUUGGAUUCUUCAAAAAUGAUCUUGCACUUGUGUCAAUUCUUUAAAAUUGCAUGUAUUAGUUAUGCGGUUUUCUAAAUUACCUCCUAAAUCAGCUAUCAAACAUGGUAUUACGUAACUUAACCUGCAUAACUCAACUCCAAACCAACUACCAAACGACCCUGAAUGAAAAGUAUUUCCCCUAACUCUUGCAAUAGUUUAAUAUACCUUGGAAAAAGACGUAUCUCAGAAAUAGCUAGUCCAAACAUGUGAAAACAUUCUGGAGAAAAACAACAAAUAUAAACACGAGUAUUUUCUACAAUAUGGUUGACCAAAAACUCUUCUAGGUGGGACCAUCAAAUUGAAAAAAAACCCAUCUUCCUUUAAUGUUAAAGACAAUACCAUAUGAGAAAUUAAACAACAACAACCAAUCAAAUAAUGCAAAAAAUCCCCAUCACUCAUUAAAUGGUCAAAAACCAAGACUAUGACAAAAAACAAGAACUUUGGUAUAUAAACCUCUUAUAACUCCAUCAUAUUAUAUACACACACAUCUCUCCUUCAACCAAAACCAAGAAAAUGAUAACAAGACCAAUAUUUGUUUUUUCACUUCUCUUAUUCUUAUCAUUCAUAUUCAACCAAAACAUAAUAUGUUAUGCACAAGAGCCACCAAGCAUCACAGGAUAUACUUGUAAUCCUAACCAAUUCAAUCCAUGUCAAACUUAUGUGUUAUACAGAGCUAGAGGACCAGACUUUCUUGAUUUAGCCUCAAUUGGUGAUCUUUUUUCAGUAAGUAGACUAAUGAUAGCAAACCCUAGUAAUAUUUCCAACCCAAACACAACUCUUGUUAAUGAUCAACCCCUUUUUAUCCCCAUCACAUGUUCUUGUAACAACAUCAACACAACAUAUGGUAGCAUAUCUUAUGCUGGCUUUAACUACACUUUCAAAUCAGGUGACACUAUGUAUGGUAUAUCAACAUCUAAAUACCAAAAUCUUACUACUUAUCAAUCUGUUGAGGCUGUUAAUCCCACAGUUGUAGCAACCAACAUUGAUGUAGGCCAGACCAUAAAAUUCCCAAUUUUUUGCAAGUGUCCAAACACGACACAAAAUCAACCAAGACUACUCAUAAGUUAUGUUUUUCAACCUAAUGAUAACAUUUCUUCUGUCGCCUCAAGAUUCAGGGUAACCCCACAAUCUAUAACACAAAUUAAUGGAAAUAACACCAAGAUUCUUGAUACCCUUUUCAUCCCUCUUUCUAAUCUACCUAAUCUUACACAGCCAGCAUCUUCAAACACCCCACCCCCACCCCCAGCACCAGCACCAGUAAUUCAAGAAAAUGACAGAAAAGAGACUGUCAUAGGGUUAGCAAUUGGUUUAGGGGUUUGUGGGUUGCUGUUGAUUUUGAUUCUUGGUUUGUUUUACAAGGAGAAAACAGUAAAGAAAGAAAAGUAUGGUGAUGUAGAAAGGCAAAAAAGUUUGUAUCUUGGAUCAAAAAAGAAGUCUUUUGUUGAUAAAGAUGUUGAAGUGAAUUUGUUGGCUGAUUUAUCAGAGUGUUUGGAUAAGUAUAAAAUGUAUAAAAUGGUACAACUUUGGGAAGCAACAAAUGGAUUUGAUGAAGGGUGUUUGAUUCAAGGGUCUGUGUUUAAAGGAACAAUUGAUGAAGAAGUGUUUGCAAUCAAAAAAAUGAAAUGGAAUGCCCGCGAAGAACUCAAAAUCCUGCAAAAGGUAAAAAAAAAAACGUUACGUAAAAUUCUGCAUAUAUACGUAUCCACUGCAGAAUUGCUUUUGUGUACUACUAGUAAAAAUCAUUUUAUUCACCCCCUGCAACCCCUGCACCAGUAAAUCAAGAAAAUGACAGAAAAGGAACUGUUAUAGGGUUAGCAAUUGGUUUAGGGGUUUGUGGGGUUUUGUUGAUUUUGGUUCUUGGUUUGUUUUAUAGAGAGAAAACAGUGAAGAAAGAAGGGUAUAGUGAUGUAGAAAGACAAAAAAGUUUGUAUGCUGGAUCAAAAAAGGGGUCUUUUGUUGAUAAAGAUGUUGAAGUGAAUUUGUUGGCUGAUGUAUCUGAGUGUUUGGAUAAGUAUAAAAUGUAUAAAAUGGAACAAAUUUGGGAAGCAACAGAUGGAUUUGAUGAAGGGUGUUUGAUACAAGGAUCUGUGUAUAAAGGAACAAUUGAUGGUGAAGUGUUUGCAAUCAAGAAAAUGAAGUGGAAUGCUCGUGAAGAACUCAAAAUACUGCAAAAGGUAACAUUUUUACUCAAUUUUCUAUACUUUUGGUAUCUUUUCAAGAAUUACUUUUGUGUAUUGAUAUUGAGAAAAUGAUAAACAUGGACCGACCUGGGUUGAAGUAGAGUAGUAAGUACUUCAUUUUUAUCAGAGUUUUCGAAUUUGAGUCAUCGGAAUGCGAAAUUGUCUUUGUUAAGGAGCAAUUUACUCUUCAUAGGGAAUUUUUCUAUAUAUUUGGUAUGUUAUCGAGAAUUGUUUUUGUGUACUAAUUGAUGUUUGAGAAAAUGAUAAAAUGGUCUAGUAAUUAGAGGUUUUGAAUUUGAGUCUUUAAGUAUAGAGUUAUUUUGGUUAGGAAGCGUAGAGUUAUUUUGGUUAGGAAGCGUGUAUUCUGACAUGAAUUCAAAUUUUAAUCGAACUUUAUAAUGGAUAUCGAACGCCGAGUAAAAAGGGGAAAAAAACAUGGUCCAUAUGUGUGGAGGGUUGAUUCAUAAAGUCUUUAAGUAUGUACUAUUUGAUAGUUUCCAUCUUUUAAGUUUGUCAAAAAUUAGUAUCUUUAAUUUUUCAUAAAAUAUUUAUUGAAUUUAUCUGUUAGAUUUGAUGGGAUUAUGGGGGGGGGGGGGGGGGGGGGGGGAAGGGGGGGAUUUCANNNNNNNNNNNNNNNNNNNNNNNNNNNNNNNNNNNNNNNNNNNNNNNNNNNNNNNNNNNNNNNNNNNNNNNNNNNNNNNNNNNNNNNNNNNNNNNNNNNNNNNNNNNNNNNNNNNNNNNNNNNNNNNNNNNNNNNNNNNNNNNNNNNNNNNNNNNNNNNNNNNNNNNNNNNNNNNNNNNNNNNNNNNNNNNNNNNNNNNNNNNNNNNNNNNNNNNNNNNNNNNNNNNNNNNNNNNNNNNNNNNNNNNNNNNNNNNNNNNNNNNNNNNNNNNNNNNNNNGUGGGGGGGGGGGGGGGGGGGGGGGGGGGGGGGGGAAGGAAAUGAGGGAAUUCAUAAUUAGAGGUACUAUUUUUGUAGAUUGAUUGGUUUUGAUUUGUUUCUAUAAUUUGGUGUAGAUUUUUUAUUUUUUUUAAGAUAUGAAGUGUCUGUAUGCAAUGUUUUCUGUUGUAUAUUUUAGAUUUGAAAAGAUUUUUUUAGUGUUUAUGAUUAAAUAUUUAUUAUUUUUGUCAAAUUUAAUAAACAUAAAUUAUUAAGUAGUUGACGAAGAUUAAAAAUGUUAACUUUUGAUAAACUUAAAGAAUCAAAAUUCAAAACUGUUGAUUACAUAUUUAAGGAGCUAUUUUGAACCUGUUCAGUGUUCUCCCACCUUAGAGGCUAUUUUUGUCAUUUUCUCAAUUGAUAUUUUAGUAAUGUUAAAAUUCCACUGCAGAAUUGUUUUUCCUCCAAUGGAUCAGAUUAAGUAUUUAAUUAAAAAUAUAUGUUUAAUAAUUUAAACUAUUAGGUCUAGUGACCUGUCGUAUUCUUGAGACAUUAGUAGUACUUUAUUUAAAUAUUUAAGUGGACCAUUAUGCCCAUUGGGAUUUGAUAAUUUAUAAUUUAAGCUAAUCAACAUCAUUUAAUACUCAAUUUAUUUGUCCUCUGAUGUCUAUCUUUUCAUUAAAUACUCCUCUUUUUGUUCCUCAAUUAUUCACUUUUUGUUUUCCUUUUUAUUUUUGUCCCUAAGGAGACCCUCGAGCGUGUAUCAAAAAUAAUUUUUUUAUAUAUUAUUUUUUUCAUAACUUGUUUAUAAAGAUUUUACUAGAUAUAUUGUUGUUGUGAUAAGAAUUGAGAUAUUAAAAAUUAACAAGAUGUCUAGAAACAAUUCUUUUUCUUUUUUUGCCAUAGAAAAGAGCAUCUUUUAUUAAUAAUUUAUUUUAUCAAGACAAAGUUCAAAAUAAAUUUUCUUCCUAAAUGAAAUUUCUUUGUCUAUGACUUUCUCCCAAAAAAGCGUCAUGCUUUUAGCUUGGUUUGGCUGUACUACUUUGACUAGAUUUAUUAGUUGUCCUAUUAAAUAAAGAAAACGUCAUCAAGUCCUAUUUUGCAACCGUUACUAUAAUUAGCGCUUCGCUACGAAUAAAUCAAUAACUUUUUUUUAAUCAUGUAUUAUAUAGUAUUUUAUUCAAUUUCAAAUAAUUAUUAUUUAAAUUAUCUAUUGGAAAUAGUAUUUCUACCUCUAAGAUAAUGGUAAGGUUUACGUAUAUUUUACUCUCUUCAGAUCGUACUUUAUGGGAUUACAUGAGUAUGUCGUUGUAAUAUUGUCCCAAAUUAAUUAUGUCUACUUAAUAAUUUCCCCCUUUUGUUUUGUGUAGGUGAACCAUGGGAAUUUGGUGAAGCUAGAAGGUUUUUGCAUAGACCCUAAAGAAGCAAAUUGCUUCUUAGUCUAUGAGUAUGUUGAAAAUGGUUCACUACAUUCAUGGAUUCAUGGUGAAAAACCUGAAAAAUUGAGUUGGAAAACAAGACUAAGAAUUGCAACUGAUGUUGCAAAUGGUCUUUUAUACAUUCAUGAACAUACAAGGCCAAGAGUUGUCCACAAAGACAUCAAAACUAGCAACAUUCUCCUAGACACCAACAUGAGAGCCAAAGUUGCCAAUUUUGGUCUAGCUAAAUCAGGUUGCAAUGCCAUAACAAUGCACAUUGUAGGUACUCAGGGGUACAUCUCCCCUGAGUAC